CAGUAGCCACGGUAAUACGGAGGGUGCAAGCGUUAUCCGGAUUUAUUGGGUUUAAAGGGUCCGUAGGCGGAUCUGUAAGUCAGUGGUGAAAUCUCACAGCUUAACUGUGAAACUGCCAUUGAUACUGCAGGUCUUGAGUAAAUUUGAAGUGGCUGGAAUAAGUAGUGUAGCGGUGAAAUGCAUAGAUAUUACUUAGAACACCAAUUGCGAAGGCAGGUCACUAAGAUUUAACUGACGCUGAUGGACGAAAGCGUGGGGAGCGAACAGGAUUAGAUACCCCUGUAGUCCCUGUCUCUUAUAU
Molecule: ribosomal RNA, 301 nt
Filed under: uncultured bacterium
Lineage: Bacteria
Description: partial 16S ribosomal RNA
Rfam family: Bacterial small subunit ribosomal RNA
Source: RNAcentral